RNAcentral lists this ribosomal RNA (462 nucleotides) under uncultured bacterium. RNAcentral's name for it is "bacterial SSU rRNA". It matches the Rfam family "Bacterial small subunit ribosomal RNA", at positions 28 to 507 of the family's 1533-position model. The record is from RNAcentral.
GAUAAACGCUGGCGGCGUGCAUUAGACAUGCAAGUCGAACGAACGACCUCGGGCUUGCCCGGGGAAGUUAGUGGCGAACGGCUGAGUAACGCGUAGGUGACCUGCCCUAGAGUGGGGAAUAACUGCCCGAAAGGGUGGCUAAUACCGCAUACGGUCAUGAGUUCAUUCUCAUGUCCAAAGCCUUCGGGCGCUCUUGGAGGGGCCUGCGUUCGAUUAGCUCGUUGGUGAGGUAACGGCUCACCAAGGCGACGAUCGAUAGGUGGUCUGAGAGGAUGAUCACCCAGACUGGGACUGAGACACGGCCCAGACAACUACGGUUGGCAGCAGUCGGGAAUUUUGCCCAAUGGGGGAAACCCUGAGGCAGCAACGCCGCGUGAGGGAUGAAGGCCUUCGGGUUGUAAACCUCUUUUCUCAGGGACGAUAAUGACGGUACCUGAGGAAUAAGCCACGGCUAACUACGUG